Molecule: ribosomal RNA, 460 nt
Filed under: uncultured bacterium
Lineage: Bacteria
Description: partial 16S ribosomal RNA
Rfam family: Bacterial small subunit ribosomal RNA
Source: RNAcentral
CCUACGGGUGGCAGCAGUGAGGAAUAUUGGUCAAUGGGCGGAAGCCUGAACCAGCCAAGUCGCGUGAGGGAUUAAGGCCCUGCUGGUCGUCAACCUCUUUUGCCGGGGAGCAGAGGUCCGGACGUGUCCGGGCCGGGAGAGUACCCGGCGAAAAAGCAUCGGCUAACUCCGUGCCAGCCGCCGCGGUAAUACGGAGGAUGCGAGCGUUAUCCGGUUUUCUUGGGUUUAAAGGGUGCGUAGGCGGGCAUUUAAGCCGGCGGUCAAAUGUCGGUGCUCAACCCCGGCCUGCCGUCGGAACUGGGUGCCUUGAGUGGGCGAGAAGUAUGCGGAAUGCGUGGUGUAGCGGUGAAAUGCAUAGAUAUCACGCAGAACCCCGAUUGCGAAGGCAGCAUACCGGCGCCCUACUGACGCUGAGGCACGAAAGUGCGGGUAUCGAACAGGAUUAGAGACCCGAGUAGUC